GAGGGAGCUUGCUCCUGGAUUCAGCGGCGGACGGGUGAGUAAUGCCUAGGAAUCUGCCUGGUAGUGGGGGAUAACGUCCGGAAACGGGCGCUAAUACCGCAUACGUCCUGAGGGAGAAAGUGGGGGAUCUUCGGACCUCACGCUAUCAGAUGAGCCUAGGUCGGAUUAGCUAGUUGGUGGGGUAAAGGCCUACCAAGGCGACGAUCCGUAACUGGUCUGAGAGGAUGAUCAGUCACACUGGAACUGAGACACGGUCCAGACUCCUACGGGAGGCAGCAGUGGGGAAUAUUGGACAAUGGGCGAAAGCCUGAUCCAGCCAUGCCGCGUGUGUGAAGAAGGUCUUCGGAUUGUAAAGCACUUUAAGUUGGGAGGAAGGGCAGUAAGUUAAUACCUUGCUGUUUUGACGUUACCAACAGAAUAAGCACCGGCUAACUUCGUGCCAGCAGCCGCGGUAAUACGAAGGGUGCAAGCGUUAAUCGGAAUUACUGGGCGUAAAGCGCGCGUAGGUGGUUCAGCAAGUUGGAUGUGAAAUCCCCGGGCUCAACCUGGGAACUGCAUCCAAAACUACUGAGCUAGAGUACGGUAGAGGGUGGUGGAAUUUCCUGUGUAGCGGUGAAAUGCGUAGAUAUAGGAAGGAACACCAGUGGCGAAGGCGACCACCUGGACUGAUACUGACACUGAG
This 682-nucleotide ribosomal RNA is filed under the name Pseudomonas aeruginosa. RNAcentral describes it as "bacterial SSU rRNA". It matches the Rfam family "Bacterial small subunit ribosomal RNA", at positions 72 to 750 of the family's 1533-position model. The record is from RNAcentral. Lineage: Bacteria; Pseudomonadati; Pseudomonadota; Gammaproteobacteria; Pseudomonadales; Pseudomonadaceae.